This 253-nucleotide ribosomal RNA is filed under the name uncultured bacterium. RNAcentral's name for it is "partial 16S ribosomal RNA". It matches the Rfam family "Bacterial small subunit ribosomal RNA", at positions 524 to 776 of the family's 1533-position model. The record is from RNAcentral.
UACGUAGGGAGCAAGCGUUGUCCGGAAUCAUUGGGCGUAAAGCGCACGUAGGCGGAUGUGUCAGUCAGGGGUGAAAUCCCGGGGCUCAACCUCGGAACUGCCUUUGAUACAGCACGUCUCGAGUCCGGAAGAGGUGGGUGGAAUUCCUAGUGUAGAGGUGAAAUUCGUAGAUAUUAGGAAGAACACCGGUGGCGAAGGCGGCGACCUGGUCCGAUACUGACGCUGAGGCGCGAAAGCGUGGGGAGCAAACAGG